GGGCGGGGGGUGUAGGUGACGUCAGGACUGCAGUCCCGAGGAGAGCGGCUGGAGAGGACUGCGCGCUCUUAGCCAAGGAAGCUGGAGGCGCACUCAGGCAGCCGCGGCUCCCGCGCUCCUCCCUCUCCUCUGCACCCGCUGUCACGCUGCUCACCCUCAGAACCGCGCCAGCUACCAGGUGAAUUGAAAGUCGUUUCCGGGGGAGGACGGAGAGGGUGCUGCAGUCCUGGCAUGCACUAAAACUGCAAGUCGGACAGAAACAACCCAGCAGAGGAGCUGAGCGCGCGGCGCUGAGCGCAGCAUCCCGGGGCGAAGGCUGCCACUGUUCAGCCGGCAGCCAAGCGCGGCGGCCAGACCUCCGCCCCGCACUCCGGCCCGGGGCUCGCUCGCUGGAGAGAGACUCCUUUCCCUUCUUGCGCAUUUCGCAGCUGCGCUGGUGUGGGGAAUGCGAGCGUGGUGGCUCCUUGUCGCCACGGAGCAGCUGCCGGUGCUAGAGCGAGCAGAGGCGAGGGGGCGGCAGCCUCGGCCCGAAAACUAUUCCCUUGGACCCUCAGUUUAAUGACUUCUAUCCACAAGCACAACUCUUAUCUGCAGCAAGAAAUAUUGAAUAUGGGAUGGAGAUACUGGGGUCCUAAGUCUGUAGCUGAUUACACAGCAUCCCAGAUACAAAAGUGGAGCCACCGGCCCGAGCCCGUGGAUAUCUUCCCCAUAGGACUGUACUACUCAUCUGUGGAGUCCUCCUCCUCCUCCUUAUUUUCUUUUUAGGUAAGUUCUGUUCUUUUUAUUAAAUCAUAAAAAUGAGCAUUGAUC
Molecule: long non-coding RNA, 810 nt
Filed under: Ictidomys tridecemlineatus (thirteen-lined ground squirrel)
Lineage: Eukaryota; Metazoa; Chordata; Mammalia; Rodentia; Sciuridae
Description: lncRNA (ENSSTOG00000034555.1)
Source: RNAcentral